GGAUCCCAGGGCCAAGCUUCUUAACCUUAUCACUGAUAGCACUGACACCAGAGUCGACACCAGCUGGAACAUGUGAGUAUAUCUGUAGGCUUCCAUCUUCAUGUAACACAAGACAGUGGAUUUUGUCUUUUGACAAAGGCUUAUGAGCAGCAACCCCUACAACAGGAGAUGCUGAACCCACUGAAUGUCGCAAGUUCUGUACGAGUACUUCAUGUUCACCAAAUGAGACAGCACAUGCAGCAUUUGAGUUCAAACUUGAGAAGCAACCAAGCAAGGCACUGCCACCAAAUAAAUCUCUCCACCGGUGCAAUCCUGCUGGCCGAAGUUUAUCAUCUGUUUCAUUCUCCAAUAUGGCAGAGGCCUCUAUUAGGGAAGUUACAUCUGGAUUUACUCGGCCAACCAAGGUGGUCCCAUCUUGAAAGGACAAAAAGAGCAACCGAUGCAUUAGCGAAAAAUAUAAGGAAGAACCUUUUGCAUGUCUUUCUUUACCCUCAAUUUGCAGAAUUUCCUUCAAUGGCUUGGCCCCGACAUUUCCUUUUGAUGACGACAACUCCAACCUGUACAAGCUACCAUGUUCUGAAAGGACAAUCAGAAACACUCUACCCUGUGAAGCCAUAAUAAGUGCAGCAUCCAUAAUCAUGUCAUCAGGCAAAGUGAAA
RNAcentral lists this unclassified non-coding RNA (659 nucleotides) under Hevea brasiliensis (rubber tree). The record is from RNAcentral. Lineage: Eukaryota; Viridiplantae; Streptophyta; Magnoliopsida; Malpighiales; Euphorbiaceae.